CCUACGGGUGGCUGCAGUGAGGAAUAUUGGUCAAUGGGCGUAAGCCUGAACCAGCCAAGUCGCGUGAGGGAUGAAGGUUCUAUGGAUCGUAAACCUCUUUUAUAAGGGAAUAAAGUGUGGGACGUGUCCUGUUUUGUAUGUACCUUAUGAAUAAGCAUCGGCUAACUCCGUGCCAGCAGCCGCGGUAAUACGGGGGAUGCGAGCGUUAUCCGGAUUUAUUGGGUUUAAAGGGUGCGUAGGGGGGCGUUUAAGUCAGCGUGAAAAAUUCGGGGCUCAACCCCGUCCGGCCGUUGAAACUGGGGGCCUUGAGUGGGCGAGAGGAAGGCAGAAUGCGUGGUGUAGCGGUGAAAUGCGUAGAUAUCACGCAGAACCCCGAUUGCGAAGGCAGCCUUCCGGCGCCCUACUGACGCUGAGGCACGAAAGUGCGGGGAUCGAACAGGAUUAGAUACCCUUGUAGUC
Molecule: ribosomal RNA, 459 nt
Filed under: uncultured bacterium
Lineage: Bacteria
Description: partial 16S ribosomal RNA
Rfam family: Bacterial small subunit ribosomal RNA
Source: RNAcentral